UACAUAGGGGGCGAGCGUUAUCCGGAAUUAUUGGGCGUAAAGGGUACGUAGGCGGGUCUGCAAGUCUGAUUUGAAAGCACACGGCUUAACCGUGUGAGGUAAUUAGAAACUACGGGUCUAGAGAGUGGUAGAGGUAAAUGGAAUUCCAAGUGGAGCGGUGAAAUGCGUAGAGAUUUGGAGGAACACCAGUGGCGAAGGCGGUUUACUGGGCCACAUCUGACGCUAAUGUACGAAAGCGUGGGGAGCAAACAGGAUUAGAUACCCUGGUAGUCCACGCCGUAAACGAUGAGUGCUAAGUAUCGGUAGAAUCGGUGCUCAAGCUAACGCAGUAAGCACUCCGCCUGGGGAGUACGGUCGCAAGACUGAA
This 367-nucleotide ribosomal RNA is filed under the name uncultured bacterium. Its description in RNAcentral is "bacterial SSU rRNA". It matches the Rfam family "Bacterial small subunit ribosomal RNA", at positions 524 to 898 of the family's 1533-position model. The record is from RNAcentral.